RNAcentral lists this microRNA precursor (122 nucleotides) under Arabidopsis thaliana (thale cress). Its description in RNAcentral is "microRNA MIR405". It matches the Rfam family "MIR405 microRNA precursor family". Lineage: Eukaryota; Viridiplantae; Streptophyta; Magnoliopsida; Brassicales; Brassicaceae. The record is from RNAcentral.
UUAACUCAUUUAACAACUCAACCCAUCAAAUUAAAUGAGUUAUGGGUUGACCCAACCCAUUUAACAAAAUGAGUUGGGUCAACCCAUAACUCAUUUAACCCUAAACUCAUUUGAUUAUGAGU